AGUCUCUCACCGCUCAGACAGACACUUCGCUUUCCCCGCCGCCUGCUCUCCCCGCCGCCUGCUCUCCCCGCUGCAUCCUCUCCUUUGCACGCCGCCUCCACUCCAGCCCGCCGGCGCACUCCGUCUCCUCUCCCCAACAUGGCCUCGCCUCGCCUCAUGGCCAACCCCGCCGGUGUUCCGUAGAUGGACUCUACCGCCUCCGUGCCCCGACGCAGAUCAAGCCGUGAGCUGCUGGAUGUGAUGCGGGGCGGGCAUCUCGGAGCGAACUGAGAUCCACUGCGUGUACGUGGUGAGGACGCUUCGACCUAGAGCUCCAUGGCGUCCCACAACCACGAGCACCUCAGGUUCAGUCGGCGCCAGAUUGAGGAGAGUCGCGCCGUCGUCAAGGGCCAUGGAACUCGGGACGCCGCCGCCCUGCCCCCGCUCCGACGCCAUCAAGCAUCACCAACUCAGCUCGAUGUAGGGGGAGGAUGCUUCUUCUUCUUGGGACGUCGGGUCGUCGUGGAAGGCUUGAAGUGGCGCUCAUCACCCAGUAUGAUGGGAAGAUUCAAUGCCAGAGUCGACAUUAUUGACAUUUUCCUUGUUAGAAACGGCACUGUGGGGUGUUUUUAAUGAAUUUGGACCAUGAAAUGGAGUCUCAUCGGACAUCAUCACAUCAACAGUGGCAGGCUGGAAGUACUCCGAUGUCGACCAAUGUCCUUGAGAUGGUGCGGCCACCAGGGUGAGGACGGUGUGGACACCGAAGCUAGGGCGGCGUGUCGGGAUGGCGCCAGGUUUCCUUGAGACGGCGGCCAGCGAGUCGAGGACGUUAUGGACACCAGAUCUAGGGCAGGUCGUCGGGACGGCGCCAGGUUUCCUCGAGACGGCACCUGCUAGGGCAGGUUCGUGGCCUGGUGGCGGUGUUUUUUUUUUCUAUUUAGCUGUUGGUGGCGGCGUUGAUCACGGACGUGCUGUUUAAUUUCGUGGGCUCCCAUCGUUGGGUUGUCUAGCAUCCUAAGCGGGGAGUCUGCCGGCAGAACAUUUGUUUUGAACCGUAGAUCUGAUUGUAGUAUGGUGAAUGUAACGUGGACAGUUGGAUGGAACUUAAUGGGUCAGAUCGGACGUGGGGGGUUA
Molecule: long non-coding RNA, 1113 nt
Organism: Triticum urartu
Lineage: Eukaryota; Viridiplantae; Streptophyta; Magnoliopsida; Poales; Poaceae
Source: RefSeq, a predicted model, not a curated record